RNAcentral lists this ribosomal RNA (70 nucleotides) under Trisopterus luscus. The record is from RNAcentral. Lineage: Eukaryota; Metazoa; Chordata; Actinopteri; Gadiformes; Gadidae.
GAUCUUCUCGGCGGCGGCGACUCUGGACGUGCGUCGGGCCCUUCUCGCGGAUCUCCUCAGCUACGGUGAC